GAUGAACGCUGGCGGCGUGCCUAAUACAUGCAAGUCGAGCGAACAGACGAGGAGCUUGCUCCUCUGACGUUAGCGGCGGACGGGUGAGUAACACGUGGAUAACCUACCUAUAAGACUGGGAUAACUUCGGGAAACCGGCGCUAAUACCGGAUAAUAUAUUGAACCGCAUGGUUCAAUAGUGAAAGACGGUUUUGCUGUCACUUAUAGAUGGAUCCGCGCCGCAUUAGCUAGUUGGUAAGGUAACGGCUUACCAAGGCAACGAUGCGUAGCCGACCUGAGAGGGUGAUAGGCCACACUGGAGCGGAGACACGGUCAAGACUCCUACGGGAGGCAGCAGUAGGGAAUCGUCCGCAAUGGGCGAAAGCCUGACGGAGCAACGCCGCGUGAGUGAUGAAGGUCUUGGGAUCGUAAAACUCUGUUAUGAGGGAAGAACAAAUGUGUAAGUAACUAUGCAGGUAUUGACGGUACCUAAUCAGAAAGCCACGGCUAACUACGUG
RNAcentral lists this ribosomal RNA (497 nucleotides) under uncultured bacterium. RNAcentral describes it as "partial 16S ribosomal RNA". It matches the Rfam family "Bacterial small subunit ribosomal RNA", at positions 28 to 507 of the family's 1533-position model. The record is from RNAcentral.